Molecule: ribosomal RNA, 297 nt
Filed under: Triticum aestivum (bread wheat)
Lineage: Eukaryota; Viridiplantae; Streptophyta; Magnoliopsida; Poales; Poaceae
Description: partial small subunit ribosomal RNA
Source: RNAcentral
AUGUCAGAAGCUUCAGGAUCACAGGGGAAGCGGGAGAAGGAAUCAGCGGAGGAACUGCUGGCGAGGCUCACGCUGCAGGAAGAGGAGGAAGACGACUUCAUCUGGGAGGAGGAGUUGCCGGAUAUGCUUGAGCCGGCAAAGUGGCUUGCGAUCGUUCGGGUUCAUACACUAAAAUCCUUUAGCCCUAAUGCUUUGUAUAAUGACAUGAGGGCGGCAUGGAAUCCAGCUAAGUCAGUGACAUGGAGGAAAAUCAAGGCAAAUCUGUUCACGGCACAGUUUGGAUGUCUUGGUGAUUGG